CCCUUAGAUGUUCUGGGCCGCACGCGCGUUACACUGAUGCAUUCAACGAGCUUAUAACCUUGGCCGAGAGGCCUGGGCAAUCUUGUUAACGUGCAUCGUGAUAGGGAUAGAUUAUUGAAAUUAUUAAUCUUGAACGAGGAAUUCCUAGUAAACGCAGAUCAUCAAUCUGCAUUGAUUACGUCCCUGCCCUUUGUACACACCGCCCGUCGCACCUACCGAUUGGAUGGUCCGGUGAAGCCUCGGGAUUGUGGUUCUUGCCGCUUUAUUGUGGCGUGACCGCGAGAACUUGUCUAAACCUUAUCAUUUAGAGGAAGGAGAAGUCGUAACA
RNAcentral lists this ribosomal RNA (328 nucleotides) under uncultured eukaryote. RNAcentral's name for it is "partial 18S ribosomal RNA". It matches the Rfam family "Eukaryotic small subunit ribosomal RNA", at positions 1470 to 1796 of the family's 1831-position model. The record is from RNAcentral.